UGUAUUCCUUAUCUAUCUAAUACGUUGAUUUAGCUGGAACCUGUCCCAUUGCACUCUUUGUUCUUCAUAUUUCAGGUUGUCUCUUGGUUGGCUGCGCUUAUUCACCCCGGUCACAUAGCUCACUAUGCUCCCGGGAUUCACGCGCUUGCCGCCGCGAUACAACCCGAACUAUUUUGAACAACCAAAAGCACAAUAAGACAGGUUCUGCGUUUAGUUGCCGCGCUCUAAAAAUUG
Molecule: small RNA, 234 nt
Filed under: Atlantibacter hermannii NBRC 105704
Lineage: Bacteria; Pseudomonadati; Pseudomonadota; Gammaproteobacteria; Enterobacterales; Enterobacteriaceae
Description: tp2
Rfam family: tp2
Source: Rfam by way of RNAcentral